CCGGUUGGGAUACUACAUGAUGACUGGCAAAGGCGCUGGGCGGGAUUUCGGCCGUUCCGCGGAACGCCGGGAAAGGGUCACUUCCAGAUAGAGGUUCCGGUUCCGGGGUCAGCGGCCGUCGAGUUGCCGCGGCAACGCUAUUGCCAGGCCCCGUGUCCCAGGAGCUAGCGGGCUUAGGGCAGGCCCGCGUCCGCCCCUCUCGGCUUAGACACUCGACUUUAUUCACUGCUGUAUCCUCAGUGCCUAGAACAGUGCUUGGAACGUGAUUCAUAGAUUCCAGGUGAAUCAGAGGAAGAAGCAUCAUGAACAGAAAUAUAAACAAAAUGCUAUUAUUCUGAAGCAUAACUGCUGUUUUGAAAGUCCAGCAUCUGGUACCCUUAAACCAUAGAGAAUAUAUUAAAUUCCUGCCAACAUCACAUAAAUUUUACUAAUGCUUA
Cynocephalus volans (Philippine flying lemur) is the source of this 437-nucleotide long non-coding RNA. RefSeq lists it as uncharacterized. The record is from RefSeq and is a predicted model, not a curated record. NCBI's taxonomy places the organism in Eukaryota, Metazoa, Chordata, Mammalia, Dermoptera, Cynocephalidae. The transcript is spliced from 3 exons.